GAUGAACGCUGGCGGCGUGCUUAAUACAUGCAAGUCGAACGAAGCAUUUGCGACAGAUUUUUUCGGAAUGAAGUUGCUUAUGACUGAGUGGCGGACGGGUGAGUAACGCGUGGGUAACCUGCCUUGUACUGGGGGAUAGCAGCUGGAAACGGCUGGUAAUACCGCAUAAGCGCACAAUGUUGCAUGACAUGGUGUGAAAAACUCCGGUGGUAUAAGAUGGACCCGCGUCUGAUUAGCUAGUUGGUGAGAUAACAGCCCACCAAGGCGACGAUCAGUAGCCGACCUGAGAGGGUGACCGGCCACAUUGGGACUGAGACACGGCCCAGACUCCUACGGGAGGCAGCAGUGGGGAAUAUUGCACAAUGGAGGAAACUCUGAUGCAGCGACGCCGCGUGAGUGAAGAAGUAAUUCGUUAUGUAAAGCUCUAUCAGCAGGGAAGAUAGUGACGGUACCUGACUAAGAAGCUCCGGCUAAAUACGUG
This 481-nucleotide ribosomal RNA is filed under the name uncultured bacterium. Its description in RNAcentral is "partial 16S ribosomal RNA". It matches the Rfam family "Bacterial small subunit ribosomal RNA", at positions 28 to 507 of the family's 1533-position model. The record is from RNAcentral.